Long non-coding RNA from Ornithodoros turicata, 728 nucleotides. RefSeq lists it as uncharacterized. NCBI's taxonomy places the organism in Eukaryota, Metazoa, Arthropoda, Arachnida, Ixodida, Argasidae. The transcript is spliced from 2 exons. The record is from RefSeq and is a predicted model, not a curated record.
AGGAUGAAGUGAACGAGCGCGAUCAGCGCAACGGGGUUCCUCGUGAGUAAUAAUAAGAACGUCCCCGCACAGGCAAGCCAUCCAAGUCACCACUUCAUCCCGACUACAUUCCAAGACGAGAUGCGCACACGUCAGCCUCGAAGGCGGCGGUGGAUCGCUUCAUGCGGACGGCUGUCAGAAUAUGCAAGUCGCUCAAUGAGGGGCAAGGAGCAUCAUCUGUUCCUGAACAUGAUAAUGCAGUAACAGCUACUGGUCUGCACCAUGAAGCACAUGUUAGCUAACGAGACCAAGACGCACAACUGGCACAACCACACACGAGCAAAACGAAACCAUGUGCUUGCCAACCAGCGCUUCGCGCGUUUGCCGUUCGGCGGCGCCACCGAUUCCUGAAAACGUGCAAUGCACGUUAUGCACGUUUUCCACGUGGAAUGCUAGGACGUGUGUUCAGUUAUACAGACUCUUGCAUUUUCCUCCAGUUUCGUCGAUAUCUAUUAGGGUAACGGACACUAUAUUGUUAUAGGAAAAUUUAGUGACGUUAACAACACACAACACUGCUGGCCAACCGUGUUUGUGGAUACUGCAUUAUCUACAGCGAAGACUGCAAUGGACUAUCCGUGAAUAACUAUACUUCUGCGAGGAAUGCCUUAGCCACCGACGGACAGGCUCCUGUAUGUGUGAUGUGAUAGAAAAAGAAAAAGAAGGGGGGAUUUAAACAGGUACAAAAGGUG